UACGUAGGUGGCGAGCGUUGUCCGGAUUUACUGGGCGUAAAGAGCGCGCAGGCGGCUGGUCAAGUCCGAUGUGAAAGCUCCCGGCUUAACUGGGAAAUUGCAUCGGAAACUGAUCGGCUGGAAGGUGGGAGAGGGUAGCGGAAUUCCUGGUGUAGCGGUGAAAUGCGCAGAUAUCAGGAGGAACACCGGUGGCGAAGGCGGUUCUCUGGGCCUUACCUGACGCUGAGGAGCGAAAGCAUGGGGAGCAAACAGG
Molecule: ribosomal RNA, 253 nt
Filed under: uncultured bacterium
Lineage: Bacteria
Description: partial 16S ribosomal RNA
Rfam family: Bacterial small subunit ribosomal RNA
Source: RNAcentral